RNAcentral lists this long non-coding RNA (4433 nucleotides) under Paramuricea clavata. The record is from RNAcentral. Lineage: Eukaryota; Metazoa; Cnidaria; Anthozoa; Malacalcyonacea; Plexauridae.
AUCGGAGCAGGGUUUGGCAUUACCAAUGCGCGAGAAGACCCCGCACGAGAAAGCCCCUGUGCACGAGAGCGCCCCAACCAAAUAUGGAAGUUUUCGCUGCAGCGAAUUGCUUAUCAGCGGUUGGUAGGUAAAAAGGAAUAGAAAUUCUCUGAGUAAUCAGACGAGCCUGUUGAACAAAGUCUACGAAGAUACGAGAGCAAAGUCUACGAAGAUACCAGUUUUAUAAAUACCUGGUAAGUUAUCGGUAUGUUUAUUUUACAUUUGAGACUAGUUGUUCAACGUCAUAUAGCCAUUAUGAUUGAUAAACAGAAUUAGCUAAAAAGCAUCUUGCUAAGGGUCACGUCCAUAUUCAUGUUGCCACGCAUAACGUCGCCUAAAUAACGUCGAGCGUGGCAGUCACAUUGUUCAAAACCUUCACAAAAUUGUAAUUUUGCCACGAGAUUAUCGAGAUAACGUCGAGAGAAUUGAGAUAAACCCAUCGACGUUAUGCGUGGCAAUAUGAAUAUGGACGUUGACCCCUAACAGAUCGCCAACACAAACGUGCAUACAAACAUGACAUUGCAAACAGCAGAACAUAUCUUAUUUAUGCUGGUCGUUUCGUUUUGUAUUAACUAUUAAUACCGUAUUUAAUGGAAUAUUUGAAUGGAUAUUUUUAAUUUUGGCAAGUACUGUAGUGUAAAUUAUUUACGAGAAAAUGUCAUAUUCCACUUGCCAGGAUGUUUUGGUUGUUUUGACAGUUUAUCACAAUCUCUUUGUACCUUCAUUCCAACCCAGAUUGUCCAGUUAGUGAGUGUUUAAUUAAUAUAUGGGAAGAUUUUCAAGUGAGAUUACAUGAACACAAAUUACCCUUUUAUUAUUUGUACUAUAAUAUAUAACAACAGCAAAUUCUUGUGUAAUAUUAUUGUCAAUUCCAUGAGUAACCACCCCCCCCCACCCCCCCGCACCGGGAAUUUGCUGGGAACGCCAUUCCCGGGGGCCAUGCAUUUGCUUUCAGAUUAGUGUACUGGGGCCGGACAUUGUUUGGCGGCUAAAAGACCCCUGGACAUUUGACACUAGCGAAAAAAGAAAGAAUGUGAGAUUUGUUAGUUGAAGCUUGUUAAUGUUAAUAAUACAAAAUAAUAUUUGAUAAUACACUGUUACUGAACUAAAUUUAAUACCAGAUUAAGUUGGAUGGUUUAUACCCCCAUGCAUUAUGUGAUUUUUGCUAUGCAUUAUGCAAUUUUUAACAAUAUUGAUGAAAGCAUUUUUUUUUUAAUCCCGGAGUGGGACAUUUGCCACCUAACGGUUGUGCAGGGCUGUUCAUUUUCUCUCCUGCUGUCUCGCAGCGGCUGGGAAUUAUCCCUUUCUUUCCAAAAAAAUGCUAAUGUCUGGGUAUAUUCCCAGGAGGUGUGGGGGCGGGGGAUGGUUACUCAUGGAAUUGACUCAUGCAUAAUUGUUGUGUGACUUGUGUCCAUUAUGGCACGCCGUUUCAGCCAAAAGUAUUCGAGAAAUUAUCAGAAUUCAUGUCAAGAAUCAGCCAAAAGUGAGAUUUUACAACUAUUCGUGAUUUUACAGCCAUUUGAGACUUUUUAGCUUUUUGAGAUUUUAAGAACCAUUCGAGAUUUUACAACCAUUUUAGACUUCUAACUUUAGAGCUAUUCGACAUUUUACAGCUAUUCAACAUUUUACAACCAUUCGAGAUAUUACAACCAUUUGAGAUUUUACAACCAUUUGAGACUUAAUUCUAACUUAUUCACUAUUUCAACAAAACUCGAUCCCAUGAAAAUACCUGUAUCUUUAUUGCCUCCAUUAAAUUUAAUUUCGUCCAUAAUAUUACAUCUUCUGUUUGGUGAAAUGGGCCUUCCGUUUUGAAAACAAAGGCUUCUAUAAAUUCAACUUUAAUUUAAUCCCACCCCUUAGAAACAUUGUCAUUUGACCCUAGAAACUUAUAAUAUGCCAUGGGCCCCAAUGUUGAACAGCCCAACGCACGCUUAUAAUAUGCCAUGGGCCCCUUCUUCCAUGAUCCAACUUAUCGCUGUUAUUACCAUGGUCAACCAUCUUCGGCAUUUCAUUAAUUAAUAUCUAUGUUUCUACUCCUUGGAGUCCAUGAAAAGGCACCUGUUACAGCCGGUUCUUUUUGACCAUAAAACAUGACCGUUUCUUGUGUCAAAUGACAAUUAAUGUUUCUAAGGGGUGGAUAAACCAGAAAGGCCGUUGUUUUCCGAAAAGCCCAUUUCUGUAAUUUCACCAAACAGAAGAUUCUCGACAUGAAUUCUGGUUCUCAAUACUUUUGGCCGAUUCUCAACAUGAAUUCUGAUUCUCGAAUACUUUGGGCCUUCUACUAGAAUAUUAACCCAUUAAGCACCAGCACUCUCCCCUUGAUGAGUAAAAUCAUCUGGCAUUAGACAGAGUAAAAUAAUAACAUAGGGUGCUGAUGGCUGCAAUGUGACUCAAUUCCACAGAAUAUUAAUUUUAAAAAAAUAAUUAAGUCUAUGAAAUCUUGCCCCAAAACCCCCAGGAAGAAAACUAUAUUGAUAGACUAUACUAAAAAAUAUUAAGGAACCAUAUUAUAUACAUUAGACAAAAGAUAUGGAUCAUGUAAAUUUUUGUGGUAUUCUGUGGUACAUACACCUGUACAGUACAGAUCGAAGCUAGUCGCUGAGCUGUAACUGCAAGUUUAUCAACAUGUAUAUAUAACUGCAAGUUUAUCUACAUGUAUUUGGGUGUGCGGGUUGUGAUAAGGUCAGGAUGUGUAUAUAUCUGCUCACUUGGAUUAUUUUUAUUUAUUUAUUUAUUUAUUUAUUUAUUUAUUAUGCUUUAAUUGCCAAUUUCACACUAUCAUAUCUGCACAAAUACAAACACAAGAAUAUACAAACUAUCAAUCAAUCAAUGGCAGGGUAUAUGCUACAGCUUUGCGCCAAUUACAGCAGCCCUUACAGAACGAACAUGACACAUUCUACAUUAGAUCUUUAGUAAUAUAAAAAGGCCAGUUUGCACCCAGGAAAACCCUCCGCAGGAUAGUAACGGAAGGAAAGUGUACAUAGUGCUAAAGUCGUUAGUUUCAAUGCCGUGCGCUCCUGCGGAAAAUUUUAUUGAGUGGAAAUUAGCUGACAAUGAAGAUUAACAAGACCAACACAGGGACACACAUUAGAAUUAAUAACAACACAAAUUUGAACAAGACAAAUUACGGGACUUGUUACAAGACAAACAUAUAGACUUCCAUGUUCUAGGAUUUUUUAUCUAGCAAACCCAGCAUUCUAGUUCACCCAAGUGAAGUGCUAACCAGGGGUGGAAAAAUAUUUUACUUUCUGGGACUGCAAGAGAACAUUGCACAUUUCUGCAAAUAAUAAAGUAAAUUGACACUCGGACACUGUAACUAUGUGAUGUUAUCAAACUGAAUGUCAUGUUAUAUUUUAAAUUAACAGAAAAAUAUUAAUUAACAUAAAACUAAUUUAGAUAACAUGCAUCAAGGGUCUGAUCCUAAGGUGAAUAGAGAUGCUUAAAAAGGCACUACUAGGGGGGCACUAGCAGGGGGAUCCAUGCCCCCCAGAAAAUUAGGCAUUCCAGAUUGGCUAAAAAUGAAUUUGCCAUAGAACAUUUGUUACAUUAUUCUAUAGUCUUACACUAUUAAGAUGGAUAAUUAUUGCAUUUCUAAGGUCAUACCUACAGCACAGGUGACUUUUUUUCUAUUAGUUAGAAUUUUUCCUUUUAUCUAUUAAAUUUUUACAUUAAUUAUCCUUUUUCUUUCUUGGGGAACUAUUUUCUGGGAACUAUAUAUAUAUAUGCUUGGAUUUUUAUUUUUUUUUAAAUAUAUUCGCCCAAUUUAAUUACAAAAAUUUUGAUUAUUAUAUUUACAUGUUUAUUAUCUAGGGCUAGGGGCCUACUAGAAACCAUCAAAAGGCUUUUGAUUAAGACCCCUAGUUACAUUUUAAAUUACAAAAUAAGGAUCCUAUUUACAAACAAAACUAGGUGACAGUGCUUCAAGUGAGGUGCAAUAUGAUAAAGUAUUUACAUAUAGUGCUACAGUAAAUAAAAUGUUAUGAUCACAAAAGUGUAUUAUUAUUAAUUCAUAUAAAAUUUGAUAUUGCAGAUGUUGUUUUGGUAGUAGUUUUUCAGUUAUUCAGUAUGUAGUAUUUUUUCGAUUUUUUCUUGAAUAUAUAGUAAGAUGCUAUAUUUUUAAAGUUUGGGUCAAGAUUAUUCCAGAUAUCAACUCCCUUGUUAGAGAGUGAAUGUUUGACAUAGUUUGUUCUUUGAUAAGGCUUAUCCACCAAACUCAGCAUAUAUCUAUUUUUCAAAAACAUGGUCAUGAAUAAAGAACUGUCAGAUGGAGUGUUUCAUUUUAAGAAAAAUUUUGUUUAUAUAAUAGUACACAACAUGUCUAGACUAUAAAUGUCUCAUCUGUGACUAUUUCUUUAAUAAACCUUUUGCAUACUAAACUUGAAAGAUAAUAUUCA